ACCUUGCUCCACAUCCACCCUUAAACUGCAACCCAGCAAGCUGCUAAAUAUCUGGGAGACGGAGCGCUUCUACAUCUCUGCAGUGCAGCCAUGGCCACCACAGAAUCAAUGUUCCCAGACCGAAGUGACUUUGACUAUGUUCCAGCUCCUCUGGUACCCAAAUACCAAAGACAGAGGUGCCUCCUCAAACUGUAUAGAAAAUAUAACACUUGAAAGGGGAAGAAGUCGUCACGGGAACCCCGCCAGCGAAAACACACAAACACUGGUUGUUUAUGGCCAUCCCUGUUAUGGCUAAUAUACCUCUGCCAGCUGGAUGAUCAAUAUACAGGGUUUUCCAACGCAUCCUGACCUGGUUUCAUUAAGCCUCUCACUGAAUUCUGUAGAGAGUCUUACAAUAAUAGCAAUGUACUGUGUAUGUAUCUAAAGAUGGCUCCAAAUUGAGUGGGAAUAAAAGAAGGGGG
This is a long non-coding RNA of Epinephelus moara (kelp grouper), 461 nucleotides long. RefSeq lists it as uncharacterized. The transcript is spliced from 4 exons. NCBI's taxonomy places the organism in Eukaryota, Metazoa, Chordata, Actinopteri, Perciformes, Serranidae. The record is from RefSeq and is a predicted model, not a curated record.